GAAAUCGGCAGGGACCGAUUCAACCCCCGAUCCCGCGAACGCUCAUCAGGAUUAACCCAAUGGGUUCUGCUUUCUGAACUGCGAGCAGAUCAGUUGAACACGAAAUCGCUAACGAGAUGAGCUUCUCAUCGUGGGGCUUCGUCAAUCUCUGCCAUGGAAGAAGAACAAGUCACAAGCAGUUACGGUUCCCAUUGGUCGCAAGGAAACUUAUGGCACUGAAGCCCUGACAGAAGACGAAGAGUUUGGAGUGACGGAGCAGUUGAAGAAUUUCGUCAAAGUCCUUCACGAUUGAUACCUUCAAGAAUUUCCCCUCGAAGACAGAUGAUCAGGGAACGGUUGAAAUCGCUGGCGAUUCAGCACCCACAGCCUCUUCUGAUGUCCGGAAUGAUCUGUUGACAUGGCGGGAGCAGCAUGCGAUGCUCAUUCUCCGCAGAGUCAAGGUUAAGAUAACACCUGUUCUUCCUUAUAAUCAAUCCUUGUUCCCUUUUCUUUGAUUGAGUGAUUGAGCAUGCAAUCUGUUGGAUUGGACUAUAAGGAAUAGAACUCAUGUUGUACCUUGAGAAUCCGAGUUUCUCUUUGGACUUUUAUUUUGCGGUUUUGUAGGGAAUGGAACUGGUGAAUAUAUCCAGGUCGGUUACCUAUGGCUAUUCCUUGCA
Macadamia integrifolia is the source of this 656-nucleotide long non-coding RNA. RefSeq lists it as uncharacterized. The transcript has 2 exons. Lineage: Eukaryota; Viridiplantae; Streptophyta; Magnoliopsida; Proteales; Proteaceae. The record is from RefSeq and is a predicted model, not a curated record.